This 76-nucleotide non-coding RNA is filed under the name Sphaerochaeta pleomorpha str. Grapes. The record is from RNAcentral. Lineage: Bacteria; Pseudomonadati; Spirochaetota; Spirochaetia; Spirochaetales; Sphaerochaetaceae.
AAGAGCUGUAUGAAUCGAGAGAUUCACGUACGGUUCUGUGAGAGCCUUGGGGUGAAACUCCCUUUGGCUACUCGAU